UACGGGGGGGGCAAGCGUUGUUCGGAAUUACUGGGCGUAAAGGGCUCGUAGGCGGCCAACUAAGUCAGACGUGAAAUCCCUCGGCUUAACCGGGGAACUGCGUCUGAUACUGGAUGGCUUGAGAUUGGGAGAGGGAUGCGGAAUUCCAGGUGUAGCGGUGAAAUGCGUAGAUAUCAGGAGGAACACCGGUGGCGAAGGCGGGUCUCUGGGCAACAACUGACGCUGAGGAGCGAAAGCGUGGGGAGCGAACAGG
This 253-nucleotide ribosomal RNA is filed under the name uncultured bacterium. Its description in RNAcentral is "partial 16S ribosomal RNA". It matches the Rfam family "Bacterial small subunit ribosomal RNA", at positions 524 to 776 of the family's 1533-position model. The record is from RNAcentral.